Molecule: ribosomal RNA, 425 nt
Filed under: uncultured bacterium
Lineage: Bacteria
Description: bacterial SSU rRNA
Rfam family: Bacterial small subunit ribosomal RNA
Source: RNAcentral
GUGGGGAAUAUUGGACAAUGGGCGCAAGCCUGAUCCAGCAAUGCCGCGUGGGUGAAGAAGGUCUUCGGAUCGUAAAGCCCUUUCGACAGGGACGAUGAUGACGGUACCUGUAGAAGAAGCCCCGGCUAACUUCGUGCCAGCAGCCGCGGUAAUACGAAGGGGGCUAGCGUUACUCGGACUUACUGGGCGUAAAGGGCGCGUAGGCGGCUCUGUUAGUCAGGCGUGGAAUUCCUGGGCUUAACCUGGGGACUGCGCUUGAUACGGCAGGGCUUGAGGCGGAGAGAGGGUGGUGGAAUUCCCAGUGUAGAGGUGAAAUUCGUAGAUAUUGGGAAGAACACCGGUGGCGAAGGCGACCACCUGGCUCGGUUCUGACGCUGAGGCGCGACAGCGUGGGGAGCAAACAGGAUUAGAAACCCCGGUAGUCC